Molecule: transfer RNA, 65 nt
Filed under: fish gut metagenome
Rfam family: tRNA
About the family: Transfer RNA (tRNA) molecules are approximately 80 nucleotides in length. Their secondary structure includes four short double-helical elements and three loops (D, anti-codon, and T loops). Further hydrogen bonds mediate the characteristic L-shaped molecular structure. tRNAs have two regions of fundamental functional importance: the anti-codon, which is responsible for specific mRNA codon recognition, and the 3' end, to which the tRNAs corresponding amino acid is attached (by aminoacyl-tRNA synthetases). tRNAs cope with the degeneracy of the genetic code in two manners: having more than one tRNA (with a specific anti-codon) for a particular amino acid; and 'wobble' base-pairing, i.e. permitting non-standard base-pairing at the 3rd anti-codon position.
Source: RNAcentral
CUAUAGUUCAGUUGGUUAGAGCGCCGGAUUGUGGUUCCGGAGGUCGUGGGUUCGAACCCCAUUAG